GAUGAACGCUGACAGAAUGCUUAACACAUGCAAGUCAACUUGAAUUUGGGUUUUUAACUUAGGUUUGGGUGGCGGACGGGUGAGUAACGCGUAAAGAACUUGCCUCACAGCUAGGGACAACAUUUGGAAACGAAUGCUAAUACCUAAUAUUAUGAUAAUAGGGCAUCCUAUAAUUAUGAAAGCUAUAAGCGCUGUGAGAGAGCUUUGCGUCCCAUUAGCUAGUUGGAGAGGUAACGGCUCACCAAGGCGAUGAUGGGUAGCCGGCCUGAGAGGGUGAUCGGCCACAAGGGGAAUGAGACACGGCCCUUACUCCUACGGGAGGCAGCAGUGGGGAAUAUUGGACAAUGGACCGAGAGUCUGAUCCAGCAAUUCUGUGUGCACGAUGAAGUUUUUCGGAAUGUAAAGUGCUUUCAGUUGGGAAGAAACAAAUGACGGUACCAACAGAAGAAGUGACGGCUAAAUACGUG
This 467-nucleotide ribosomal RNA is filed under the name uncultured bacterium. RNAcentral describes it as "partial 16S ribosomal RNA". It matches the Rfam family "Bacterial small subunit ribosomal RNA", at positions 28 to 507 of the family's 1533-position model. The record is from RNAcentral.